AAAAAAGAUAUUUUGAAAAAUGUAUGAAACCUGUAACCAUUGACCUCCAUAGUAUUUGUUUUUCCUACUAUGGAAGUCAGUGGUUACAGGUUUCCAGCUUCUUUCAAAAUAUCUUCUUUUGU
This 122-nucleotide microRNA precursor is filed under the name Danio rerio (zebrafish). RNAcentral's name for it is "miRNA (ENSDARG00000098436.3)". The record is from RNAcentral. Lineage: Eukaryota; Metazoa; Chordata; Actinopteri; Cypriniformes; Danionidae.